This 174-nucleotide non-coding RNA is filed under the name bovine gut metagenome. Its description in RNAcentral is "malK-I RNA". It matches the Rfam family "malK-I RNA". RNAcentral also lists the same sequence under 1 other name. The record is from RNAcentral.
CCGCGCACUCCACUCUAUGUACGGGGGAUGGCUGAAAUAAAGGAGGUACCUUCCCCUUGGCUUGGGGUGCGGCAGUGUGGAGACCUGUCGCAAUGCGCGGCCGACGGUUUGCGCGGCGCGCGAGGCGGUUCGUUGAUGAAGUUCGGGACCGUUAAAGCCGAAAGCAGUAUGGCA